UUUAUGGAGAGUUUGAUCCUGGCUCAGGACGAACGCUGGCGGCGUGCCUAAUACAUGCAAGUCGAGCGGACUGAUUAAGAGCUUGCU
This 87-nucleotide ribosomal RNA is filed under the name Alkalihalobacillus sp. MEB130. Its description in RNAcentral is "partial 16S ribosomal RNA". It matches the Rfam family "Bacterial small subunit ribosomal RNA", at positions 1 to 87 of the family's 1533-position model. Lineage: Bacteria; Bacillati; Bacillota; Bacilli; Caryophanales; Bacillaceae. The record is from RNAcentral.